CCUACGGGAGGCAGCAGUGAGGAAUAUUGGUCAAUGGGCGCAAGCCUGAACCAGCCAAGUCGCGUGAGGGAAGACGGUUCUAUGGAUUGUAAACUUCUUUUAUCGGGGAGCAAAGGAAUCCACGCGUGGCUCUUUGCGUGUACCCUAUGAACAAGCAUCGGCUAACUCCGUGCCAGCAGCCGCGGUAAUACGGAGGAUGCGAGCGUUAUCCGGAUUUAUUGGGUUUAAAGGGUGCGUAGGUUGUAUGUUAAGUCAGCGGUGAAAGUGCGUGGCUCAACCUUUAAAUUGCCGUUGAAACUGGAAGACUUGAGUGUGUGAGAGGUAGGCGGAAUGCGUGGUGUAGCGGUGAAAUGCAUAGAUAUCACGCAGAACUCCGAUUGCGAAGGCAGCUUACUGGGCCAUAACUGACGCUGAAGCACGAAAGCGUGGGGAUCGAACAGGAUUAGAUACCCUUGUAGUC
Molecule: ribosomal RNA, 460 nt
Filed under: uncultured bacterium
Lineage: Bacteria
Description: partial 16S ribosomal RNA
Rfam family: Bacterial small subunit ribosomal RNA
Source: RNAcentral